GGAUCCAGACUUUGAUUCUGGCUCAGGAUGAACGCUAGCGGCAGGCUUAACACAUGCAAGUCGAGGGGCAGCGCGGGGCGGCAACGUCCUGGCGGCGACCGGCGGAAGGGUGCGUAACGCGUGAGCGACAUGCCCGUUGCCCGGGGACAACCGGUGGAAACGCCGACUAAUCCCCGAUGGGACGGAGGCCCUCAUGGGUCUCUGUUGAAAGUUACGGCGGCGACGGAUUGGCUCGCGUCCGAUUAGCUUGUUGGCGGGGUAACGGCCCACCAAGGCUACGAUCGGUAGGGGUUCUGAGAGGAAGGUCCCCCACAAUGGAACUGAGACACGGUCCAUACUCCUACGGGAGGCAGCAGUGAGGAAUAUUGGUCAAUGGGCGGAAGCCUGAACCAGCCAUGCCGCGUGCGGGAAGGAGGCCCUAUGGGCUGUGAACCGCUUUUGCCUGGGGGCAAUAAGGGCGUCGCGCACGUCCGAUGAGAGUACCAGGGGAAUAAGCAUCGGCUAACUCCGUGCCAGCAGCCGCGGUAAUACGGGGGAUGCGAGCGUUAUCCGGAUUCAUUGGGUUUAAAGGGUGCGUAGGCUGUGCGUCAAGUCAGGGGUGAAAUUCCGGGGCUCAACUCCGGGGCUGCCCUUGAUACUGUCGCGCUGGAGUGCGGAUGCCGCCGGAGGAAUGAGUGGUGUAGCGGUGAAAUGCUUAGAUAUCACUCAGAACACCGAUUGCGAAGGCAUCUGGCGAAUCCGUAACUGACGCUGAGGCACGAAAGCGUGGGGAUAGAACAGGAUUAGAUACCCUGGUAUUCCACGCCGUAAACGAUGAUGGCUAACCGCCGGCGACAUACUGUCGGUGGCCAAGCGAAAGCGAUAAGCCAUCCACCUGGGGAGUACGUCGGCAACGAUGCAACUCAAAGGAAUUGACGG
Molecule: ribosomal RNA, 918 nt
Filed under: uncultured Bacteroidota bacterium
Lineage: Bacteria; Pseudomonadati; Bacteroidota
Also listed under: 1 other name
Description: bacterial SSU rRNA
Rfam family: Bacterial small subunit ribosomal RNA
Source: RNAcentral